GGGUGUGUAGCUCAGCUGGUUAGAGCGCUAUCCUGAUAAGAUAGAGGUCCUUGGUUCGAGUCCAAGCUCACCCA
Molecule: transfer RNA, 74 nt
Filed under: Candidatus Woesebacteria bacterium
Lineage: Bacteria; Candidatus Woeseibacteriota
Description: tRNA-Ile
Rfam family: tRNA
About the family: Transfer RNA (tRNA) molecules are approximately 80 nucleotides in length. Their secondary structure includes four short double-helical elements and three loops (D, anti-codon, and T loops). Further hydrogen bonds mediate the characteristic L-shaped molecular structure. tRNAs have two regions of fundamental functional importance: the anti-codon, which is responsible for specific mRNA codon recognition, and the 3' end, to which the tRNAs corresponding amino acid is attached (by aminoacyl-tRNA synthetases). tRNAs cope with the degeneracy of the genetic code in two manners: having more than one tRNA (with a specific anti-codon) for a particular amino acid; and 'wobble' base-pairing, i.e. permitting non-standard base-pairing at the 3rd anti-codon position.
Source: RNAcentral